CACCAGCGCCUCGAGUGGGGAUCGCGAUUAUUGGGCCUAAAGCGUCCGUAGCAGGCUUUGUAGAUCCUUUGUGAAAUGGGCAGGCCUAACCUGUCCGCGGGCAGAGGAGACCGCAGAGCUUGAGACCGGGAGAGGUCAGAAGUAUUCCUAGGGUACCGGUAAAAUGGGUUAAUCCUGGGAGGACUACCAAUGGCGAAGGCAUCUGACCAGAACGGUUCUGACUGUGAGGGACGAAAGCUAGGGGAGCAAAACGG
RNAcentral lists this ribosomal RNA (254 nucleotides) under uncultured bacterium. RNAcentral's name for it is "partial 16S ribosomal RNA". It matches the Rfam family "Archaeal small subunit ribosomal RNA", at positions 474 to 727 of the family's 1478-position model. The record is from RNAcentral.